CCUACGGGUGGCAGCAGUGAGGAAUAUUGGUCAAUGGACGCAAGUCUGAACCAGCCAUGCCGCGUGCAGGAAGACGGCUCUCUGAGUUGUAAACUGCUUUUGUACGAGGGUAAACACUGAUACGCGUACCUUUCUGCAUGUACCUUACGAAUAAGAAUCGGCUCACUCCGUGCCAGCAGCCGCGGUAAUACGGAGGAUUCAAGCGUUAUCCGGAUUUAUUGGGUGUAAAGGGUGCGUAGGCGGUCGGAUAAGUUAGAGGUGAAAUCCCGAGGCUCAACUUCGGAAUUGCCGCUGAUACUGUCAGGCUAGAGAGGAGGUGCGGUAGGCGGAAGGCACGGUGUAGCGGUGAAAUGCUGAGAGAUCAGACAGAACACCGAUUGCGAAGGCAGCUUACCAGGCGAAGUCUGACGUUGAGGCACGAAAGCGUGGGGAGCAAACAGGAUUAGAUACCCCAGUAGUC
RNAcentral lists this ribosomal RNA (460 nucleotides) under uncultured bacterium. RNAcentral describes it as "partial 16S ribosomal RNA". It matches the Rfam family "Bacterial small subunit ribosomal RNA", at positions 338 to 795 of the family's 1533-position model. The record is from RNAcentral.